Long non-coding RNA from Hevea brasiliensis (rubber tree), 1697 nucleotides. RefSeq lists it as uncharacterized. Lineage: Eukaryota; Viridiplantae; Streptophyta; Magnoliopsida; Malpighiales; Euphorbiaceae. The record is from RefSeq and is a predicted model, not a curated record. The transcript is spliced from 4 exons.
CCAACACAAGAUGUCCUGGAAGGAAUUUUUGUGAUUGGCUUGACAUAAUAUGCAUUGGAAGAUCAUAUUCCACAGAAGAAUUUUCACACAUCCAAUUACAACUUUGGCGUUUGCUGCCAGAUGAUCCAGGCCAAGAUAAUUUUGCUUCUUAAAAAACGAGUUUAAGUUCUGGUGAAGAACUUCUGAGUCAUUGAUUCUGCGUGCGGUGGACAGCUGUAAAAACAUAUUGUAUGGACUCUACUUCAAUUCCGUCUUCAAAACAAGUAAUACAGUGAGUUGUAAAUACCCAUCUCACUUGUUGACAAUUAUUGGUAUCUGGCACUAGUGCUAAGGACACUUGGAAGGUAGUUUCUUGAUUUGUAUCAUCUCUUUUUUUUUUAAUAUUUAUUCUCUCCAUUUUCUUUCAUGUAGAAGGACGUUGGUUAUACAACAAAACAGGAUAUGAGGAGCUCCCGAGCUGCAACUGCAACCUCUCUGCUAGUCUAAAUAUGUUAGAAGUAGCAGUAUUUAGUGUUUAUGCCAUAUUUCUUGUGUUCUGUUUUUGUCCUUUUCAGCAUUUUCCUAUACAUGAAUAAGUUGAACAAUAGACUGAUCUUCAUACCCUUUCAUUAUUAUUUGAAUUUUAGGAUUUGAUGGUAUAGAAUCUCCGCUGAGGCCAGGAUAUGAACUCUCUCUAGGAGUGUUUUACUGUUUUUAUUAUGAAUAAGGUGGUGAUCCUUCUCUUAAAUUUUGUAAAUUAUUAAUUUUUAUCUCUACUUAGAUGAGAAAAUUUUAAAAAUUUUCAGUAGCUAAUUCUAUGUGGGCAGGGCAUGGAAUGAUGAGAGAUAAAGUUUUAGCUGCUCAACAAUUUUUCCACUCUAUUUCUUCUGAAAUGGGUAGUACAUUACAUUGAUUUCUUCAUUUAUACAAUGGCUCAUCAAGAAUAAAGAGUCACAGGGUUACGGUGUUUACAUCCCUGAAAUUCUGAUAAGUUGGAAAGUGGUGAACAAAUGCAAAGGGUGUCAAAUCCAUUGGCAGCUCAUUAUUUUAAGUUAUUAGGGACUAUCAGAAACCAAAACAAGAUGUUGUGGCAGCAAUUACUUGCAACCCUACUUCUUUUGAUGUGCAAAAAGCUGUAACAAAUUGGUGGAAAUCAAGAAGUAAGCAUGGGUCCCAAAGAAGUGACCAUUUAAUGUACUCCUGGAUUUUUAUUUCUAUGUUUGGCUCGUAAUAUCUAAUCUAGACUCUAGAUACAAUGCAACAUCUUACCUCCCUUGAAAAUUGAGAAGGUGGCGGUUUUGUGUCGAGUUAUGCUAUUGAAUGAUGAAGAAGGCUAGACUAUGGAGAUAUGCAGCGAUAUGUUACUUUCCAACAUGAUUGAAUGCUUUUGGCCCAUUGCGAGAUAAAUGAACUUCACUUAUCAGAAAAAAGUUAGGCAUCUUAUGAUCCUCCCUUCAUAUUCAACAGAGUUUAGAUGGUAGAUUUUUGAAGUUAUGUAUAAUCUGUAUGUUUGUAAUUGUAAAGUUUUUUAGUUUUGAAGUUUGUAAUCGAGAGAAGCUACUACGGUGGCCCAUUCUCUUACUAGGUAGCCAUUGGGAUGGAGCCCCCGGGCUCCUUGUAGUCUGUUCUUUUGGAUGUUCACUUCCAAGCUUUUUUUACUUUAACAUUUUAGAUUCUGAGUUGGGUAUGAAGGAUAGAUCUAUUGGCCUUGAGUUUAG